Molecule: long non-coding RNA, 1269 nt
Organism: Eucalyptus grandis
Lineage: Eukaryota; Viridiplantae; Streptophyta; Magnoliopsida; Myrtales; Myrtaceae
Exons: 3
Source: RefSeq, a predicted model, not a curated record
CGAUACAGAAUGGAAAAUUUUCUGAUGACUUCUUUGGCAAGCCAAAAGUGCUAACAUUGGCAUGCUUUCAUGACGAAAAUGCCGUCUUUCCUCCCAUGUUCCUCCUACAAAGAUUUCAUAACCUACAAAGCCUUGAGGUUUUCUGCAGUUCUUUUGAAGAUAUAUUCCUUGAUGAAGGGCUUGUUGACGAGGGCAAACAUCUGGUGCUUGAAAAUUUGGAACAACUUAAGUUAAAAAAGCUACACAACCUAAAGCAUGUCUGGAGAGAAGGCUAUUUGGUGGCGAAAAUUCUUCAAAGUAUUGGCACAUUUGAGAUUUGGGAUUGUCCCAAUUUGACAACCUUAUUUCCAGCUGUGACAUCCUUCAGGAAUUUAACGAAGUUAGUGGUGAAGAAUUCUUCUGGAUUGGUACAUCUAGUGACGGUUUCAGCAAUCACAAAUUUGGUGCAUCUCACUGACAUGACUAUAAUUGGAUGUGAAAGAAUGAAAGAAGUAGUGGCAAACGAUGAAAACAAAGAAAGAAAAGUGAUUUCUCUUACAAAGCUAUUAAGGUUGACACUCCAACAUUUGUCAAGCCUAGAAUGCUUCUCCUCCACCACAUAUUGCAUCUUUAGGUUUCCGAACAUGUAUUCAAUAGAAGUGGAAGAGUGCCCAAAAAUGAAGAUCUUUUGUAAAGGUAUGAUAAGCACACCAAAACUACAGCGGGCAACACUAUUUAGAUGCUAUUGGGAUCAGAACUGGAAGGGUGAUCUCAACACAACCAUACAAAAGUUGACCGCAUAAACAAGUGCACAUAAAUUUGUCAGUGAUAAAGGGGAGAGCAGAUUAUACAAGUGGUACGGAGAUCUGGAAGUUACUAAGGCACAGUCAAAAGUCAAGAUGAUGAAAGUUUCUAUUGAGUUUAGGUUCGGACAUUACAACUUACUACACGAAUUGUGCUCAAGGGAAGACUUGUCGUUGGAGAGAAGAUGAACAGCGGCUGGCAAUCUGCACCUGGCGACACUUCAUCUCUUCAAGAUCAUACUCUCUCUAAAGGAAGGAGAUGUCUGUGUGUUCGAGCUUGUCAGGAUUGAUAAUAUUUAACUCAAAGUCUCCAUUUUCAGAAGGAACGUCAAGACUUAGAGGUGAACUUUGGUGUGGCAAUGGAAAAAUCUCUGCUUCGCUAUUAAUUGUUUCGUUAAUGAGAUCAAAGAAAGCAAAACUUUCUGCUGCGAUCAAUUGAAUGGUGAUGUAGUUCCUGAUGUUUCUUGGAGAGUAGUGAGCAUUAAAA